Molecule: microRNA precursor, 60 nt
Filed under: Ptychodera flava
Lineage: Eukaryota; Metazoa; Hemichordata; Enteropneusta; Ptychoderidae
Description: Pfl-Mir-4818-P3_pre stem-loop
Source: RNAcentral
CUCCACUAUUGAGUGCUAUUAGUGUGUUAUUUGUAUCUGAUUGCACGCAAUAGUGGGGCU